AAUUUACAGCAGAAAUUAUUUUAAUGCUGGAAAAGCUCUUACUCAUCUGAACCAUCAUUCAAAAUGCACAGUGAAAGUCGCCAAGGAGAAGUUUUCCAUCCCACUGUCUGCAGGACUCCUGCAGGUCUUCUGAUGCUUAAGCAUAUCUGUCUCAGGCUGCCCCUAAAAUUAAAAUGAAGUAAUCUGGCAAAAUGAACUCAGAGCACACAAAGAGGAACCACUGGAGACUGAUCUGCAAGAUAUUCAGGUGUUGCUGUUGAGCAGAAAUUGGAAGGAAACUGUGAGGGUCAAUAGAUUGAGAAAAUGGUCCUGCCCAUCAUCAUAGGAAACCAUGAACCUCUCCACUCUGGGACAGGAGUGACCUGCAGUGACCAGCUCUGCUGCCUUAGGAACAUUAGCUGUACUUCUCAAAUAAGUUUCCCUGAUGACAUGCAAAUCAGAGUCUGUUAACCAUUGGCUGUUCCAGAUACGAUGUCAAAGCCAACAAGGGAGACUUGAUGUAGUAUUACUCAAAAGCAGAAGUAUUUUGGUAAGUCACGUAACAUGCAUUAAGUAGUUGAGAAAGUGAUCAUUCAUGAUAACACAUUUUUUUUC
Long non-coding RNA from Zonotrichia albicollis (white-throated sparrow), 594 nucleotides. NCBI's taxonomy places the organism in Eukaryota, Metazoa, Chordata, Aves, Passeriformes, Passerellidae. The record is from Ensembl.